AACGCGAAGAACCUUACCUGGGUUUGACAUACACGGGAAGCCUGCAGAGAUGUGGGUCUCUUUGAUACUCGUGUACAGGUGGUGCAUGGCUGUCGUCAGCUCGUGUCGUGAGAUGUUGGGUUAAGUCCCGCAACGAGCGCGACCCUCGUUCCAUGUUGCCAGCAAGUAGUGUUGGGGACUCAUGGGAGACUGCCGGGGUCAACUCGGAGGAAGGUGGGGAUGACGUCAAGUCAUCAUGCCCCUUAUGUCCAGGGCUUCACGCAUGCUACAAUGGCCGGUACAAAGGGCUGCGAUCCUGUGAGGGUGAGCGAAUCCCAAAAAGCCGGUCUCAGUUCGGAUUGGGGUCUGCAACUCGACCCCAUGAAGUCGGAGUCGCUAGUAAUCGCAGAUCAGCA
Molecule: ribosomal RNA, 395 nt
Filed under: uncultured Nocardioides sp.
Lineage: Bacteria; Bacillati; Actinomycetota; Actinomycetes; Propionibacteriales; Nocardioidaceae
Description: bacterial SSU rRNA
Rfam family: Bacterial small subunit ribosomal RNA
Source: RNAcentral